AGGCCAGUCCCUGAGUAGGAAUGGACAACAAGGUGGUCACCAUGCUGACAGCUAUUCCCUGUGUGAUUUACUUUAUUAUGAAGUCUAAAUUUGAUGCUGAAGUGCUAGCCUAAGCUCACUAACCUGCCAACUUAGAGAAGAAGGUAACCAUGGCUAGGAUGACUGGGAAUCUGAUGGACUCAAUUAAGAAUUUCUACAGAUGGGAAAACCAAAACUCCUUAGUGGCAAGAGGCCAAAGAUGGUCAGCGAAUUGUUGUUUCCGGCUGUUGGAAGUUGACUGCAGUUGAAUAACAGAACAAAAACGGAGCUUCAAAAUCAUGGCGUGCCUGCUUCUUCUGGGUUCUUUUAACUGCAAGCAAUCAGCUUUGAAGAGCACGUAGGGAACUUCUGAUGUGAUACAAACUUUUGUCUUUUUUUUUUUUUUUGUCUUUUAAGAGCAUUCAAAAACACUUGGUCUGGCUGUUUCAAUUUU
Molecule: long non-coding RNA, 472 nt
Filed under: Homo sapiens (human)
Lineage: Eukaryota; Metazoa; Chordata; Mammalia; Primates; Hominidae
Description: HSALNT0294524
Source: RNAcentral